GGCGAGUGAAGCGGCAACAGCUCAAAUUUGAAAUCUGGCUCUUUCAGAGUCCGAGUUGUAAUUUGCAGAGGGCGCUUUGGCUUUGGCAGCGGUCCAAGUUCCUUGGAACAGGACGUCACAGAGGGUGAGAAUCCCGUACGUGGUCGCUAGCUAUUGCCGUGUAAAGCCCCUUCGACGAGUCGAGUUGUUUGGGAAUGCAGCUCUAAAUGGGAGGUAAAUUUCUUCUAAAGCUAAAUAUUGGCCAGAGACCGAUAGCGCACAAGUAGAGUGAUCGAAAGAUGAAAAGCACUUUGGAAAGAGAGUCAAACAGCACGUGAAAUUGUUGAAAGGGAAGCGCUUGCAGCCAGACUUGCUUGCAGUUGCUCAUCCGGGCUUUUGCCCGGUGCACUCUUCUGCAGGCAGGCCAGCAUCAGUUUGGGCGGUGGGAUAAAGGUCUCUGUCACGUUCCUUCCUUCGGGUUGGCCAUAUAGGGGAGACGUCAUACCACCAGCCUGGACUGAGGUCCGCGCAUCUGCUAGGAUGCUGGCGUAAUGGCUGUAAGCGGCCCGUCUUGAAACACGGACCAAGGAGUCUAACAUCUAUGCGAGUGUUUGGGUGUCAAGCCCGAGCGCGUAAUGAAAGUGAACGGAGGUGGGAACCCGCAAGGGCGCACCAUCGACCGAUCCUGAAGUUUACGGAAGGAUUUGAGUAAGAGCAUGGCUGUUGGGACCCGAAAGAUGGUGAACUAUGCUUGAAUAGGGUGAAGCCAGAGGAAACUCUGGUGGAGGCUCGCAGCGGUUCUGACGUGCAAAUCGAUCGUCAAAUUUGG
RNAcentral lists this ribosomal RNA (808 nucleotides) under Curvularia geniculata. RNAcentral describes it as "LSU rRNA". It matches the Rfam family "Eukaryotic large subunit ribosomal RNA", at positions 88 to 914 of the family's 3401-position model. The record is from RNAcentral. Lineage: Eukaryota; Fungi; Ascomycota; Dothideomycetes; Pleosporales; Pleosporaceae.